Molecule: long non-coding RNA, 700 nt
Filed under: Gossypium raimondii (Peruvian cotton)
Lineage: Eukaryota; Viridiplantae; Streptophyta; Magnoliopsida; Malvales; Malvaceae
Description: long non-coding RNA (GRAI_LNC002029)
Source: RNAcentral
ACGGGAACCUGGAGGCUUUCAAGCUAUUACUCAUCUUAAAACCUUCACUAGCCCUAAUGCUUCCGCCCCACGCUACGAAAUUCUCAUUCACAAAGGCCGCCAGAGCCUGGGAACACAACGUCCUUUCGCAGAACACGGGCGAAUCCGGGUGGUCCGGCGAGUGCAAGUACACAAACAACAGCUUGAAGGCGUUCCUCGACCUCUGCAACGCGUCCAUAAAACCCUCGCCGACAAAAUUCAGUCCUCUCGUUCCGUACUCCCUUUCAAACUCCGCCACGAAAUCCAUCGCUUCAGAAGCCGCAGCUGAGACCGAUACCAAUCCGGCCGAUGAUUCCCCGCCCUGCCCAGAGCCUAGCCCGAUCAUCCCAAGGGAAUACGAAAGAACUCCACCUGCGGCCCAUAGACCCAGCCCAACAGCGCCAGAGAUCAACCCUAAACUUCCGGAUAUCACGGAAAUCGGUAAUGUAACGAGUCUCCAGGCUAAGCCCGGUGCGGGAGCGGUAAUAGGACCGGAGGCGGAGGCGGAGGCGGAGGCGGAGGCCGAGGCCGAGGCGGAAACAGUCCGGGCCCGUGAAUCGGGAGGGUCGGAAUCAGAGACAGUGGAAGAAGCGGAGGGUUGAGUGGAAGAGGUGAAGGAAGAGAUGGCGAGUUCAAGGUCCCAACCAUGGGCCUGAAGGAUUUCGGUACACAAAUCGGGAUC